This 261-nucleotide ribosomal RNA is filed under the name uncultured bacterium. RNAcentral describes it as "partial 16S ribosomal RNA". It matches the Rfam family "Bacterial small subunit ribosomal RNA", at positions 332 to 592 of the family's 1533-position model. The record is from RNAcentral.
CAAACCUACGGGGGGCAGCAGUGAGGAAUAUUGGUCAAUGGUCGGGAGACUGAACCAGCCAAGCCGCGUGAGGGAUGAAGGUACAGAGUAUCGUAAACCUCUUUUGUCAGGGAACAAAGGCGGGGACGUGUCCCCGGAUGAGUGUACCUGAAGAAAAAGCAUCGGCUAACUCCGUGCCAGCAGCCGCGGUAAUACGGAGGAUGCAAGCGUUGUCCGGAUUUAUUGGGCGUAAAGCGAGUGCAGGCGGUUCAAUAAGGCUGA